UACGAAGGGGGCUAGCGCUGUUCGGAAUUACUGGGCGUAAAGCGCGCGCAGGCGGUCUUCCAAGUCAGUGGUGAAAGCCCGGAGCUCAACUCCGGAACUGCCAUUGAAACUGUAAGACUUGAGGAUGAGAGAGGUGAGUGGAAUUCCCAGUGUAGAGGUGAAAUUCGUAGAUAUUGGGAAGAACACCGGUGGCGAAGGCGGCUCACUGGCUCAUUUCUGACGCUCAGGCGCGACAGCGUGGGGAUCAAACAGG
This 253-nucleotide ribosomal RNA is filed under the name uncultured bacterium. RNAcentral's name for it is "partial 16S ribosomal RNA". It matches the Rfam family "Bacterial small subunit ribosomal RNA", at positions 524 to 776 of the family's 1533-position model. The record is from RNAcentral.